ACGUAGGGUGCGAGCGUUAAUCGGAAUUACUGGGCGUAAAGCGUGCGCAGGCGGUUCGCUAAGACAGGUGUGAAAUCCCCGGGCUUAACCUGGGAACUGCGUUUGUGACUGUAGGGCUUGAGUGCGUCAGAGGGGGGUGGAAUUCCACGUGUAGCAGUGAAAUGCGUAGAGAUGUGGAGGAACACCGAUGGCGAAGGCAGCCACCUGGGAUGACACUGACGCUCAUGUACGAAAGCGUGGGUAGCAAACAG
RNAcentral lists this ribosomal RNA (251 nucleotides) under uncultured prokaryote. Its description in RNAcentral is "partial 16S ribosomal RNA". It matches the Rfam family "Bacterial small subunit ribosomal RNA", at positions 525 to 775 of the family's 1533-position model. The record is from RNAcentral.